This is a long non-coding RNA of Vidua macroura (Pin-tailed whydah), 637 nucleotides long. RefSeq lists it as uncharacterized. The transcript is spliced from 4 exons. The record is from RefSeq and is a predicted model, not a curated record. Lineage: Eukaryota; Metazoa; Chordata; Aves; Passeriformes; Viduidae.
GAGAAAAAGGCAAACACAGCCAAAUUGUAGGAAGAGAGUCGGGCCCUAGGAAGUCCAGAAAACUGUUUGGGCAAGGCAGAGGGUGCAUCCACCAAGUCAGAUCACCAUCUCCUGUGUCUGAUGCCAACAUCAGAAAGGCUCCUUUCACCUGGCUGCUUGGGCCACCAGCAUGGGGUGAUGUGCAGAAAAAGUCAGGAUAGACAAGACCAUGAGGACAAGCAUGAAGACACAGCCCAGCCUUCACUGCUUCAGCCUGGUAAGCCUGUAGGGAGCUGCAGGGACCACAGCCAAUGCUCCAACACCAGGCAUGAGGUUAAAGCAGUCAUGAGCUGAAGAUUUCCCAAACUGGCAUCUGUCUGAAGACACCAUCCUAGUCGGAAAGGCUGUGAUUCCAACGGUGGUAUGUCUCUGGCAACCCACUGAAGUUGUCACACUUUCCCAGAGUCCUUAUGCUGGUUGUGCCACUGCCUGUGUUCUUCACCCCUGGUUUAAUUCCCUGUUUCCUGGAGCCCGGUGGGUGGGGGUGUGUUAUGACCCAGCGAGGGUGUCGCUGUCAGGUCAUUUGCUGCUGUUAAAUGCCAGGGUUCAAAUGCCAUGAAAAUUCCAAUAACUGCAGGUAGCUGUAUCUGAAGUUGAA